CAGCCGCCGCGGUAAUACGAAGGGUGCAAGCGUUACUCGGAAUUACUGGGCGUAAAGCGUGCGUAGGUGGUGGUUUAAGUCCGUUGUGAAAGCCCUGGGCUCAACCUGGGAAUUGCAGUGGAUACUGGGUCACUAGAGUGUGGUAGAGGAUAGUGGAAUUUCCGGUGUAGCAGUGAAAUGCGUAGAGAUCGGAAGGAACAUCUGUGGCGAAGGCGACUAUCUGGGCCAACACUGACACUAAGGCACGAGAGCAUGGGAGCAAACAGGAUUAGAUACCCCCGUAGUCCCUGUCUCUUAUACA
RNAcentral lists this ribosomal RNA (301 nucleotides) under uncultured bacterium. Its description in RNAcentral is "partial 16S ribosomal RNA". It matches the Rfam family "Bacterial small subunit ribosomal RNA", at positions 509 to 808 of the family's 1533-position model. The record is from RNAcentral.